GCGGGUGUGGCGGAAUUGGCAGACGCGCUAGGUUUAGGUCCUAGUGGUUAAUCCCGUGGGGGUUCAAAUCCCUCCACCCGCACCA
This 85-nucleotide transfer RNA is filed under the name Candidatus Omnitrophota bacterium. Its description in RNAcentral is "Candidatus Omnitrophica bacterium tRNA-Leu". It matches the Rfam family "tRNA". Rfam says of the family: Transfer RNA (tRNA) molecules are approximately 80 nucleotides in length. The record is from RNAcentral. Lineage: Bacteria; Pseudomonadati; Candidatus Omnitrophota.